CAAAGUCAAAUCGAUCUAUCUUCACCGAUCUCUCUUUACCCAUCCCAGUUCGAACACUUUACUUCUCCCUUCUGCUUGGCCGCCGCCGCCUCGCCCCUCCUCCCCUUAUUUCCACCAUCAGUUCUGAAGAAUGAUUUUUUGUUGUUCUGGAUCCAUGCUAAUCGGAGGAAGAAGCAAGCCACAGGGAGAGAUUAUGUAUGACGGCUUGGAUCCGUAAGAUCCCCAAAUCCAACUUCCCACUCCAAUCCCAAUCCCAGUCUCAACCUAAUCGUGGAAUUGAAUUGAAGGCAGGCACAUAGCACCAACAUCAGAUCAGAAACACAGAGAAGCAACAGAGGUAAAUUUGACACAAACUACUUUGUUAGCUAUACUAUCUGUUACAAGUCAAAUUACUCAGUCAUAGAAAACAAAACAAAAAAACCUAAUCCCAAUAUGCAUCACUCUCCUGUCUCUCUCUGCGCCUCCUUCCAGCUCUCCUCUAUCAGUCUUUCGUGCUCCGACCUCUUCACAAGUUUUCCGCACCACUUCGAUCCCCACGGUAGUCGCCUCAUAGGCGCAAACUCCCAGGUCCUGCUUUUCCGAUCAAAUUUACCAGUUAGUGGGAUUCACAAACAUACAUUGUAUGAAAAUAAUUUAAUUCAUGUAGGAGAGUUUUCUACUUACUCUCUUGGAAGCAGAACCCACGCCCCCAAACUCUCGAUCCCUAGCACGUCUUUCCCCUUCUCGACGAGGAUAUUGCCAUCCUCCCUGCCCUCUUUGCCGUAUGAAUCCCGUAGCAUCCAGAAUCGCUGACCAUCAUCGGUCACUCCGUGACCGAUGAGAACUAAGGCAUGGAGGCCCCAUCCAACACCGCAAUAACUGCAAUGAACGCUAACAACCUGUCUAAAAUGGGGACACUCGGAACUGGUGCAUAUGUGCUCAGGGACCUCUUGCGGUCCUACAAUCAUCCCCUACAAUGCAGAAAAGGUGUUUUGAUUAGAAUUUUUAUUUCUCGAAACCUUUAAAAAAGAGAGGUUUGCCCAACUCACUCUUGUAUCAGAGUCAAAUACAGGGUGGGAUGCUAUAGUGACAGCAAUCGGAUGCUUGUCUAGCAUCCUCUCCAUCUCGCGCUCCCCUUGAAUACGGUGACAUAAUCCAAAGUAUAUCCACUGGCUAAUAUGCUAAAAAUGAGAAAUAGUUACACGGUGAGUAUCUUUGUGUUUAAACUAUAGAAAACAAGAUUUCUAGUCCUUAAAAAUAAUUACUUUUAGAUCAAUUCCUUAAUUAAGAUUAAAAACUAGUUUAGUCCUUUGAUUCGUGUUUGAGUUAGCAUUUACAUUCCAUGUCAUAUUUAAUUUGUUUUAUGUAACUUUACUGUGUUUUGUCUUCCUAUAUUACACCAAAAUAUUGCUAUUAAAUGGUUUCUCAAUUAAACGGAUUUAAAAAAAAAUUCUAAAUCAGCAUCCGACAUUUAAAGAUGCAACAUCAAAAGGACUUAGAGAUUAGGCUUCUGCAUUUGAAAAAGAGAUUAGGCAACCAUCUAUAUAUUGGUUGAUAUCUUAACAUACAUUUCGGUUGUCCGUUUUUUAUUUGCAUUUUAGGUCUCUUUAUGUUCUUUCUAUUGGUUUUGGACGACAUAUGACAUGUGUAUCUAGGUGAUUCUAACGAUUUUUGAAGAAUGUGUUCAACCUUAGUAAUAAUUCGUGCAUUGUGCUUGUGGUAUUUAUUCUUAUUUUAUUGCGUUUGUGGUUAAUUUGUUUUGGUUGCUUUUAUUAUUGGAUUUGAUCAUUUUGUUAGCGUAUGAAUUGUUGAGUUUGGAGUUGGGUUUGCUCAUUUAUGUAUUAGAUGUAUGUGAUUAGGUACUAUAACUUGGAUACAUUCGAUUAGGUAUUAUGAUUUAGAUACAUUUGAUUCGAUAAUAUGAUUUGGUGUGUUCAACGGGUACUAUGAUUUAUGUGUGUUCUAAUAGGUAUUGUAAUUUAGGUUUAAGGAGGUACUGUAAUUUAGAUACAUAUACUAAUUUGGUGUAUUAUACGUGUUAUACUUUGCCUUUUUUAUCUUGUAAUUUAUGCAUGAUUACAUGAAAAAUCUUCUAGGUACAAUAAUCAUGGAAGAAAUCAAGCAUAAAUCAAGUCAAAACUAGUUCCUAGUAAUGUGGAACAUACCAAGAAAGUUUGAAUAAUUAAUUACAGGGGCACAAUGGGAAUUAAAAGUCAUUAAUUUUUUUUAAAAACAAUGGAAUAUGAGUUAUCAUAAUCAUGAUGAUGUGGAGGAUUAAGAUUAAAUAUCUUAUCGAGCACUAGGUUUUGAUGAAAAAUUAAUCUAAUUCAAGUAUUACAAUUCAUUUACCCAAACAAGUUAGGCAUAUUUUAAGCUAAUUUAACCAAUGAAAAUCUGACCUUUUUUCGCUUCCCCAUAUACGGCCAAUCUUUCUCGAGUAUAGCACCACUAGUGUUCAUCAGGCGAAAAGACAUCAUCAAAUUAUAACCUCGAUCCCUGGAAACUCUAAAACGGCGCGCGAUACUCUGCGGAGAGAGCAUAACUCGUCUCCGCGUCUCUAAAGCGUAUAGCGCCUCGGCGCAUACGCAUGUGGAUAUUGCCCAACAAUGGGAACUAUCCCCUUGGUCGCGGAUAGGACCCAUGAUGGGCCUCCAGUCCACAAUAUAAUCUCUAUCAUUGUCCUGCAAAAAUCCAUUUUGGUGUCCACACAAUCAGACUUAAUAAUACAUCUCCAUACGUACACAUUGGUUGGUAAAAGUCUAUGCACACAUACAUAAAAAUAUAUCUCAUGUUUAUUUUUUAUCAUGUAUGCACAUUGUUUCUUUGAGAUUGUGCCUUUUCGGUCAUGUAUGCUCUUUGUUUCUUUGAUUAAUCUAAUUCAUCUAACGAUAAUCAAUAUAGUUUGAUUGGGACCAUCACCUUCACCUAAAUGAUUGUAAUUUUCAAUUCAUUUCUAUAUUAGUGUUCCUUUGGAAAGAGAGAUUCCCUUUUGAAAUCAUUUCACUCGACCUAGUGGAGUCACUUGGCCAAUUAGUGCUUGCUUUGCCACGUGCUCAAAAAGUGAGUUACCCAUCCAAUGAGGGGUUGCCACGCGUGUGAAAUGGUUGCAAGAGAAAAUCUCCCUCUCCUUUAGGAGGUUUAGGGUUUGUGAAGACCGUUCAAUGCCAAGUUUGAAGAUCAAUUCAUGAACACCUAGUAAAGGGUACAAUGUAUACAUGGACAUAAUAAGUAAAAUGAUUGGGGGAAAUUAGCAACAAGAAAAUAAUGCACUUGUACAUUUCGGUCUAGUGUAACCUAGUAUUCAAUACAUUGAUAAGGUAGGCGAACUUGGUUGUUGGGAGAGAGAAGCUAAUAAGGGGGCGUUUGUUUGAGCUCGCUAGCUUUCACUGGCUUAGACUGGACUAUGUAGUAGUCCAAUCCCGUGUUUGUUAACAGUCCGGACUAAGUUUAAUGAGAUUAGAAGGGACUCGCGGGGACUAACUCCCUCGCUAGCAAACCCUUCGAGAACCAUGGGAUUAGCGGGGACUAACUCCCUCUCGUCUUCCUCUGCUCCUAUGUUUUCACAAACGCCGAGAGCCACCAUCAUUCCCCCUCGCCAAUUCCCCCUUCCCUUCCUCCUCUCUCUUCGCUUUCUUCUCUUUUUGCUCCGUCGAGAUCCAAGCUCGGCUCGAACUCGGCUGCCACAGCGACAGUUGCUCCAUCCUCUUCAUGCUGCAAAUUUGCUUCUCUGACCACCUGUACCCAGACCUGAAACCCACCACCUAAUUCUCAACAUCCAACCACCAAAAUUUGAAAAGAAAAAAAAAAUCAAUUCGAUAACAACAAAAAAAAACUCAAUAGAAAAAUUCUUCAUUUUUCCCAAAAAAUUAAGAGAUUUUCUGAGAAAAUCAAAGGAGGGUCGAGAAACAAAGUGGUUGUGAAAUCCAUGACGCCGCAGAGAGGAGCUUCUACACGAUUUCAAUUUUCCGUGGGAUUUGACGUUGGGAAAUCAGAAUAUGUGGUGCCAUAAAUAAUUUAGAGGGUGAUGAAUGAUGAUGUUUUGAGGGAGGAGAGACUGGAAAGGAAAAGAAAAGACGAAGAAAGGGAGAGGGUCGGAGCAACAUUAAGAAGAAAAAGGAAGAUCACAGGAAAAAAAAAUUGGGAAUGGAGAUGGGAGUUUCCGGAAUGAUAAAAGAAAUAGAUAAUGGUAGUACUAAAUAUGUAUUAAAUAAUAUAAAAUAUUAAUAAAAUAUGAAUGAGAAAAUAUAAUAUUAGAAUUUGUUGUUAUCCUAUUUUUUAGUCUGACACUGCACCAAACGCUUCACUAAGUCAGUCCAACUUUGUCUAGUCUAAACCAGUCCAGCUUAGUCCCUGAAGUUAGUCCAGUCCUAGAUAGUCCGGUACAACAAACACACCCUAAGAGUCCUAGUAGCGCCACUUGUAUUCCUAAGAUCCUCUGGGCCCGAGCCUAGUAACGAGGAUUAUUGACUGAAUUAGUAGUCAUCGACUGCCUCCAAUUUUAAGAACGAUGUGUUCUAUGGUGUCAUGGUGUCAAGCGGGAGAGAAGGGAUUUCAAGACUUUGAAUGAAAUCACCCUCACAGAGCAUCUGCCUAGCCUCGACAACUCUCACAAAAUGGAGUCUGGCAUUCUAAUAGAAAAAGAAGUGAAGAACAUUAGAGAAACGGGCAGGAGCCAUGGGAUGAUCCAUAGAACAAGGAGAUGGACGGCCGAGGAGUAGAUUGUUCAUAGAAUAAGGGGAUGGACGGCCAAGGAUGCUUACGCCGUAGCUUCGGCCCUAUACAAAUUGUAACGAGAAGUGUUACAACCACACAAAAAGGACAAUCCUUGCACAAAACCUAAAACCACUAAGACAUCUAGCUAGUAGUAGUUAAAACAGAUAGACGAACACGGUAUGUACACAGAUGUAAAUAUACAUGUAGUAUGUUCAUCGGGUUCAAAAUGUGAUACCUGCAUGAGCAAAGAUUUGGUCGAAUGAGGACUUUUUUCGCGGUGGCAGAGAGAGCUUGAGGUUGAGCCAUUGUGGUGGUAGAUGGCAGCAGUACCAAAUCGAAAACCCUUGACCAAGUUUGCAACAGCCUUUCUAUUGGUGUUAAGACAACAGGAUGGCUUACUCCACAUUUUUACCAAACUCUGUAUAUAAAUAAAUUAGAUUUUGGGUCAUCAUCAUCACAAUCAUCACGAUCAUAUCAAAAAACCAACUCAUUUUUCGGUAAUCGCAAUCAUCGUCAUGUUGAUAAUAUAAUGCGGAAGUUGAACCCCUAAAUCCCAAUACAAGAAGCAAGUAAUAAACAACGAAAUCGGGACGGUGGACUUCCAAUUCCCAAGAGAUUUGACGUCCAUGGAUUGCAUUUGCAAGCCGGGCUUUUUGUGAUCCAUUUGUUCUAACAGUGAGCUAAAUAAAUAGGUAGCAGACCGGCCAAACUUGCAAAGAAAUCCAACAAAACGUAAAGAGAAGAAAAUUCAAGCAACUAAAAGUAGAAACCCUAGAUCCCAAAUCUAGCCCAAUUUUUCUUCAAAGAAAUCCAAACGGUACUACAAGGCAUGGAUCCAUAUACGUCGCACAAAAUAACUAGUAAAAAUCAACUACAUUGUCAUUGAUUGAGUCGGUGAAUUGAAAUUGCUUACUCACCCAAGAGAGAAGACGAGAUCGGAGACCCGCUGUGAAUUUUUUCUCUCUGAAUUUUCCUUCAGCUGUCGACUGCUUGCCGCAUCUUCCAUCUUUCCGGUUGUUUUUGCAUUUAUUGUACUUUGUUGAGCUUCCUACUGCCGUUGGAUGAAACCCCGAUCAGAUCCUUUGGGCUACAUUUCCAUCUAACGGUGCACCUAGAGGCUGGAGCCUUAAUGUUAACUAAUAAGUUUUUUAGAAAAUUAAGGGUCUCAUUAGAUUUUAGUCUUAACGAAAACACAUUUAGUGGGAUUUUUCCAGAUUUUUCAAGGCCAUGAGAUACCUACCCCCUGGAGCAAUUCUACACUAAGGUAAUUACUGCUUUAGUGAACAAUAACCGCAUGACUGCAUCUCCACCUCAGAAAUCAAUGCCCCAAGCAACUGAGCAAGUGCAUCAAAGAUUAGUUUUUUUUUUCCCCUAAAAAAAUUAAUAAAAGAAUAUUAUGAUUAAUUUCCGAUAGGAUAUUUAAAAAAAUCCGUCGCGCCAUGUAUUUUUUUAAUUGUAAAUAUUUUUUUUGGCUAAAUUUAUAUUGGUUGUUAGAUUAUUUAAAUUUUGUGACCAAUUUGUGCCACAUGGCACGUCAAUCAUUUUCGUUUUUUUUUAAUUUUAUAAACUCAAAAACUGAAUUAUUAUGAUAGUCCGAUUAUAUGACCAUUGGAAAUCUAGGGGUCUAAAUCUCCCACGUUAUAAAGCAUCUGCAUUGCAGGUCUCACUGAAAUUUUGUCCCUCGACGCGCCACCACGCGCACGUGUAAUACACGUGCUGAGCACAAAAAAAUUUCAACUUGAUUGGCGCCAGGUUGACGUCACACCAACUCAGGCCCUCACUCGAGCCAUUCUUGCUCGACUGCCCAAGGGUGUUGGGCUAGCCUGACUUGUUUGGUUUGGGGUGAAGGGGAUUUUGCGGGUUUUGGGGGGUUCAUUCACGCACUUGCACGAGGGGUGUACUUGGUCUUACUAGGCUGAUUUCAACGUUAGAAAAUUCAAUUUUAUGGUAUUUAUGUCGUGCAAAAUAUUAGAGAGAGAGAGAGAGAGAGAGAGAGAGACAACGGCAGGAAAGGGGGUGGUUAUCAUUGGCCGACACCACCAACAGGGAAGGUGGCGUAGGAUGAGUGCUUAAGAUAAGGUGUUAGAACUUUUCAUUUCUAAGUGAGGUUUUAGGUUCGAUUAUCAUCAAAAACGAAUUUGAAUUACAUUAUUGUUAUCUCAUUAUGAGGUUAAACUCAUCCCCUCCCGUGUAGAUAACAACAAUAGAAGCCCUAAAAUUGGAAUUUUCAAAGAAUAAUUUUGAAUUUAGGGCGUAUUCAUAAGA
Long non-coding RNA from Malus domestica (apple), 6957 nucleotides. RefSeq lists it as uncharacterized. The record is from RefSeq and is a predicted model, not a curated record. NCBI's taxonomy places the organism in Eukaryota, Viridiplantae, Streptophyta, Magnoliopsida, Rosales, Rosaceae.